RNAcentral lists this unclassified non-coding RNA (521 nucleotides) under uncultured Glomeromycotina. Its description in RNAcentral is "SSU rRNA". It matches the Rfam family "Eukaryotic small subunit ribosomal RNA", at positions 572 to 1092 of the family's 1831-position model. The record is from RNAcentral. Lineage: Eukaryota; Fungi; Glomeromycota.
AGCCGCGGUAAUUCCAGCUCCAAUAGCGUAUAUUAGUGUUGUUGCGGUUAAAAAGCUCGUAGUUGAAUUUCGGGAUUGGGAUAUAUCGGUCGUGCCUUUAGGGGCAUGAAUCGGUGUGUGGCCAAUUCUCACCUUCUGGUGAAUUGGGAUGCUCUCGGGUGUUUCAAUGAACUAGGACUUUUACUUUGAAAAAAUUAGAGUGUUUAAAGCGGGCAUUUUUGCUUGAAUACGUUAGCAUGGAAUAAUAAAAUAGGACGAUGGUUCUAUUUUGUUGGUUUUAGGACCACGUAAUGAUUAAUAGGGAUAGUUGGGGGCAUUAGUAUUCAAUUGUCAGAGGUGAAAUUCUUGGAUUUAUUGAGGACUAACUACUGCGAAAGCAUUUGCCAAGGAUGUUUUCAUUAAUCAAGAACGAAAGUUAGGGGAUCAAAGACGAUUUAUGUACGUCGUAGUCUUAACCAUAAACUAUGCCGACUAGGAAUCAGACAAAGUUAAUUUUUUAACGACUUGUUUGGUACCUUAUG